This 475-nucleotide ribosomal RNA is filed under the name uncultured soil bacterium. RNAcentral describes it as "bacterial SSU rRNA". It matches the Rfam family "Bacterial small subunit ribosomal RNA", at positions 26 to 518 of the family's 1533-position model. The record is from RNAcentral.
AGGACGAACGCUGGCGGCGUGCUUAACACAUGCAAGUCGAGCGGUAAGGCCUUUCGGGGUACACGAGCGGCGAACGGGUGAGUAACACGUGGGUGAUCUGCCCUGCACUUCGGGAUAAGCCUGGGAAACUGGGUCUAAUACCGGAUAUGACCUCAGGUUGCAUGACUUGGGGUGGAAAGAUUUAUCGGUGCAGGAUGGGCCCGCGGCCUAUCAGCUUGUUGGUGGGGUAAUGGCCUACCAAGGCGACGACGGGUAGCCGACCUGAGAGGGUGACCGGCCACACUGGGACUGAGACACGGCCCAGACUCCUACGGGAGGCAGCAGUGGGGAAUAUUGCACAAUGGGCGAAAGCCUGAUGCAGCGACGCCGCGUGAGGAUGACGGCCUUCGGGUUGUAAACCUCUUUCAGCAGGGACGAAGCGACAAGUGACGGUACCUGCAGAAGAAGCACCGGCUAACUACGCGUCAGCAGCCGC